GAAACUCUUUGUUUUUAGGUUUGUUU
RNAcentral lists this non-coding RNA (26 nucleotides) under Rattus norvegicus (Norway rat). The record is from RNAcentral. Lineage: Eukaryota; Metazoa; Chordata; Mammalia; Rodentia; Muridae.